CUGGCUCAGGACGAACGCUGGCGGCGUGCCUAAUACAUGCAAGUCGAGCGAACCACUUCGGUGGUUAGCGGCGGACGGGUGAGUAACACGUGGGCAACCUGCCUGUAAGACUGGGAUAACUUCGGGAAACCGGAGCUAAUACCGGAUAAUCCUUUUCCUCUCAUGAGGAAAAGCUGAAAGACGGUUUCGGCUGUCACUUACAGAUGGGCCCGCGGCGCAUUAGCUAGUUGGUGAGGUAACGGCUCACCAAGGCGACGAUGCGUAGCCGACCUGAGAGGGUGAUCGGCCACACUGGGACUGAGACACGGCCCAGACUCCUACGGGAGGCAGCAGUAGGGAAUCUUCCACAAUGGACGAAAGUCUGAUGGAGCAACGCCGCGUGAGCGAUGAAGGCCUUCGGGUCGUAAAGCUMUGUUGUUAGGGAAGAACAAGUACCGGAGUAACUGCC
This 448-nucleotide ribosomal RNA is filed under the name Bacillus sp. R-32524. RNAcentral describes it as "bacterial SSU rRNA". It matches the Rfam family "Bacterial small subunit ribosomal RNA", at positions 19 to 468 of the family's 1533-position model. The record is from RNAcentral. Lineage: Bacteria; Bacillati; Bacillota; Bacilli; Caryophanales; Bacillaceae.